This 468-nucleotide ribosomal RNA is filed under the name uncultured bacterium. RNAcentral describes it as "partial 16S ribosomal RNA". It matches the Rfam family "Bacterial small subunit ribosomal RNA", at positions 28 to 507 of the family's 1533-position model. The record is from RNAcentral.
GACGAACGCUGGCGGCGUGCUUAACACAUGCAAGUCGAACGGAAAGGCCCUGCUUUUGUGGGGUGCUCGAGUGGCGAACGGGUGAGUAACACGUGAGUAACCUGCCCUUGACUUUGGGAUAACUUCAGGAAACUGGGGCUAAUACCGGAUAGGAGCUCCUGCUGCAUGGUGGGGGUUGGAAAGUUUCGGCGGUUGGGGAUGGACUCGCGGCUUAUCAGCUUGUUGGUGGGGUAGUGGCUUACCAAGGCUUUGACGGGUAGCCGGCCUGAGAGGGUGACCGGCCACAUUGGGACUGAGUUACGGCCCAGACUCCUACGGGAGGCAGCAGUGGGGAAUAUUGCACGAUGGGCGGAAGCCUGAUGCAGCAACGCCGCGUGCGGGAUGACGGCCUUCGGGUUGUAAACCGCUUUCGCCUGUGACGAAGCGUGAGUGACGGUAAUGGGUAAAGAAGCACCGGCUAACUACGUG